UACGUAGGGGGCAAGCGUUAUCCGGAUUUACUGGGUGUAAAGGGAGCGUAGACGGUAAUGUAAGUCUGAUGUGAAAGCCCGGGGCUCAACCCCGGGACUGCAUUGGAAACUAUGUAACUAGAGUACCGGAGAGGUAAGCGGAAUUCCUAGUGUAGCGGUGAAAUGCGUAGAUAUAACUUAGAACACCGAUAGCGAAGGCAGCUUACCAGACUGAGUCUGACGCUGAUGCACGAGAGCAUGGGUAGCGAACAGG
This 253-nucleotide ribosomal RNA is filed under the name uncultured Dorea sp. RNAcentral's name for it is "partial 16S ribosomal RNA". It matches the Rfam family "Bacterial small subunit ribosomal RNA", at positions 524 to 776 of the family's 1533-position model. Lineage: Bacteria; Bacillati; Bacillota; Clostridia; Lachnospirales; Lachnospiraceae. The record is from RNAcentral.